ACUCCUACGGGAGGCAGCAGUGGGGGAUAUUGGACAAUGGGCCACAAGCCUGAUCCAGCAAUUCUGUGUGCACGAUGAAGGUCUUCGGAUUGUAAAGUGCUUUCAGUUGGGAAGAAGAAAGUGACGGUACCAACAGAAGAAGCGACGGCUAAAUACGUGCCAGCAGCCGCGGUAAU
Molecule: ribosomal RNA, 176 nt
Filed under: uncultured bacterium
Lineage: Bacteria
Description: partial 16S ribosomal RNA
Rfam family: Bacterial small subunit ribosomal RNA
Source: RNAcentral